Molecule: ribosomal RNA, 253 nt
Filed under: uncultured bacterium
Lineage: Bacteria
Description: partial 16S ribosomal RNA
Rfam family: Bacterial small subunit ribosomal RNA
Source: RNAcentral
UACGUAGGGUGCGAGCGUUAAUCGGAAUUACUGGGCGUAAAGCGUGCGCAGGCGGUUCUGUAAGCCAGAUGUGAAAUCCCCGGGCUCAACCUGGGAAUGGCAUUUGGGACUGCAAGGCUCGAGUGCGGCAGAGGAGACUGGAAUUCCUGGUGUAGCAGUGAAAUGCGUAGAGAUGCGGAGGAACACCGAUGGCGAAGGCAGCCCCCUGGGCUAGCACUGACGCUCAGGCACGAAAGCGUGGGGAGCAAACAGG